Non-coding RNA from Phalacrocorax carbo (great cormorant), 995 nucleotides. NCBI's taxonomy places the organism in Eukaryota, Metazoa, Chordata, Aves, Suliformes, Phalacrocoracidae. The record is from RefSeq and is a predicted model, not a curated record.
GCAGAGAGUAUGAUAAAAGAUUUCCUUUCAUUUGUAUAAACACUUCAGGAUUGCUUUGUGCGUGUGAAGGGAAAACCAAAGUUGCAUGAUGAGUCACUUCUCAGCCAUAACUUCUGAAGACUUAUAGCCUCAGUGCACUUCUAAGAUCCAGAGCCUUAUAAGAUGCAAGGAUGUCAUCUUACCUGUCUUUUGUCCUUUUUUGGAACCAUUAAAGAAAAACUGGAAACUGGAGUGAUAUAUGAAGAAUUGACAGCUUUCUCAGCAGGGAAGAUCGGCCUUUUUACAUUGGAAGACUUUUGUCUGUGGUGUAUCCAUUUCAGAGCCUUCUCACCUGCUUUAGAAAAGCUGGGUGAAAUAUGGGAAGCCACAAUUGUGAAGAUCAAGUAUGCAAACAGCUUAGUGACCUAUUCAAGGAAUACAGCCACUGCCAAACAGCUUGAGGUUCAUUUUUCCAUAGUGACUUUACCUGGACACAUACAGGAAAACAUAAACUAUGCAGUACCUAAAGAGGAAGUAUAUUAUUUAUUUCAUUUUUCUGUUAGCUGUCAUCAUGUUUACAAAUUUAAGUGGAAUAUACUCACUCAUUUGGCAUUUUUGUAAGAUUGGUGAUGGAGAGAUGAAAGAAUAAGAUAAUUUUAGUCUUGAAAUAGGUUCAUACUGUAUAUAGUAUACUAUAUGCAUAGUAUUAGGUAUAGCUAUAGGUGUUUUAUAUUAUAUAUGUAAAAGUAGUUUCUCUAAGUGUACCAAUACUUACAAAGUUUGAUUCCUGUGUUUACUCAGGGCCUUAUCUGACAAUUUUAUAGUGAUAUCCCUGCUGGUUUGAUGUAGUAAUCCAUUACAAUGUAACCAAAAGUAAAAGGAAAUCAAUAAAAAUAGAAAAUAGAAAACCAUUUUUUCCGCAGCUGCUCGCUAUCACUUCUGAGAAUGAGCAGGCAAGUCCACAUUUCCAAGUGCGCAGCAGCCCAGACAAGAAGUGAGUCCUUUGCUCAGAGGUU